GCAUAUCAAUAAGCGGAGGAAAAGAAACCAACAGGGAUUGCCUUAGUUMGCGGCGAAGUGAAGCGGCAAUAGCUCAAAUUUGAAAUCUGGCGUCUUCGGCGUCCGAGUUGUAAUUUGAAGAAGGUAUCUUUGAGGCUGGCUCUUGUCUAUGUUCCUUGGAACAGGACGUCACAGAGGGUGAGAAUCCCGUGCGAUGAGAUGCCCAGUUUCGUGUAAAGUUCCUUCGACGAGUCGAGUUGUUUGGGAAUGCAGCUCUAAGUGGGUGGUAAAUUCCAUCUAAAGCUAAAUAUUGGCGAGAGACCGAUAGCGAACAAGUACUGUGAAGGAAAGAUGAAAAGAACUUUGAAAAGAGAGUGAAAAAGUACGUGAAAUUGUUGAAAGGGAAGGGCUUGAGGUCAGACUUGGUUUACCAGGCCAGCAUCAGUUUGGAUGGCAGGAGAAUAGCAUUGGAAAGUGGCACGGCUUCGGUUGUGUGUUAUAGCCUUUGUUGAUACUGCCUGUCUAGACUGAGGACUGCGUCUUUGACUAGGAUGCUGGCAUAAUGACCUUAAGCCGCCCGUCUUGAAACACGGACCAAGGAGUCUAACGUCUAUGCGAGUGUUUGGGUGUAAAACCCGUACGCGUAAUGAAAGUGAACGUAGGUGAGAGCCUUAGGGUGCAUCAUCGACCGAUCCUGAUGUCUUCGGAUGGAUUUGAGUAAGAGCAUAGCUGUUGGGACCCGAAAGAUGGUGAACUAUGCCUGAAUAGGGUGAAGCCAGAGGAAACUCUGGUGGAGGCUCGUAGCGGUUUCUGACGUGCAAAUCGAUUCGUCGAAUUUGGGUAUAGGGGGCGAAAGACUAAUCGAACCAUCUAGUAGCUGGUUCUGC
Molecule: ribosomal RNA, 866 nt
Filed under: Yamadazyma siamensis
Lineage: Eukaryota; Fungi; Ascomycota; Pichiomycetes; Serinales; Debaryomycetaceae
Description: LSU rRNA
Rfam family: Eukaryotic large subunit ribosomal RNA
Source: RNAcentral